This 1488-nucleotide long non-coding RNA is filed under the name Oncorhynchus kisutch (coho salmon). Its description in RNAcentral is "lncRNA (ENSOKIG00005019907.1)". The record is from RNAcentral. Lineage: Eukaryota; Metazoa; Chordata; Actinopteri; Salmoniformes; Salmonidae.
AUGUGGAGGCUAUAUACAGGGGGUACCGGUACAGAGUUAAUGUGGAGGCUAUAUACAGGGGGUACCGGUACAGAGUUAAUGUGGAGGCUAUAUACAGGGGGUACCGGUACAGAGUUAAUGUGGAGGCUAUAUACAGGGGGUACCGGUACAGAGUUAAUGUGGAGGCUAUAUACAGGGGGUACCGGUACAGAGUUAAUGUGGAGGCUAUAUACAGGGGGUACCGGUACAGAGUUAAUGUGGAGGCUAUAUACAGGGGGUACCGGUACAGAGUUAAUGUGGAGGCUAUAUACAGGGGGUACCGGUACAGAGUUAAUGUGGAGGCUUUAUACAGGGGGUACCGGUACAGAGUUAAUGUGGAGGCUAUAUACAGGGGGUACCGGUACAGAGUUAAUGUGGAGGCUUUAUACAGGGGGUACCGGUACAGAGUUAAUGUGGAGGCUAUAUACAGGGGGUACCGGUACAGAGUUAAUGUGGAGGCUAUAUACAGGGGGUACCGGUACAGAGUUAAUGUGGAGGCUAUAUACAGGGGGUACCGGUACAGAGUUAAUGUGGAGGCUAUAUACAGGGGGUACCGGUACAGAGUCAAUGUGGAGGCUAUAUACAGGGGGUACCGGUACAGAGUUAAUGUGGAGGCUAUAUACAGGGGGUACCGGUACAGAGUUAAUGUGGAGGCUAUAUACAGGGGGUACCGGUACAGAGUUAAUGUGGAGGCUUUAUACAGGGGGUACCGGUACAGAGUUAAUGUGGAGGCUAUAUACAGGGGGUACCGGUACAGAGUUAAUGUGGAGGCUAUAUACAGGGGGUACCGGUACAGAGUUAAUGUGGAGGCUAUAUACAGGGGGUACCGGUACAGAGUUAAUGUGGAGGCUAUAUACAGGGGGUACCGGUACAGAGUUAAUGUGGAGGCUAUAUACAGGGGGUACCGGUACAGAGUUAAUGUGGAGGCUUUAUACAGGGGGUACCGGUACAGAGUUAAUGUGGAGGCUAUAUACAGGGGGUACCGGUACAGAGUUAAUGUGGAGGCUAUAUACAGGGGGUACCGGUACAGAGUUAAUGUGGAGGCUAUAUACAGGGGGUACCGGUACAGAGUUAAUGUGGAGGCUAUAUACAGGGGGUACCGGUACAGAGUUAAUGUGGAGGCUAUAUACAGGGGGUACCGGUACAGAGUUCAUGUGGAGGCUAUAUACAGGGGGUACCGGUACAGAGUUAAUGUGGAGGCUAUAUACAGGGGGUACCGGUACAGAGUUAAUGUGGAGGCUAUAUACAGGGGGUACCGGUACAGAGUUAAUGUGGAGGCUAUAUACAGGGGGUACCGGUACAGAGUUAAUGUGGAGGCUAUAUACAGGGGGUACCGGUACAGAGUUAAUGUGGAGGCUAUAUACAGGGGGUACCGGUACAGAGUCAAUGUGGAGGCUAUAUAAAGGGGGUACCGGUACAGAGUUAAUGUGGAGGCUAUAUACAGGGGUUAAUGUGCGGGGCACCGGUUAG